CUUCCUGUUUCUUCCUUCCCAACUGUCUUGAUGGAGAUUUUCUCACAAAUGAUAGAUGUGAUGUCAGAUGAAGAACAUUGUACUUAUGGCCAGGAGACUGGAUUUCAAUCAUCACUUUGCUACUUACUGCCUACGUAACCUUGGAAAGUCACUCAAGGAAACUGAAACCCCAGAAUUUAUCCUCAAAAUGUAUUAAAUCUACUUCAGAUUCAGAGAAAUGUCACACUGUUUCCACCAGAUGUGAUUGCAAGCAUCUUUUCUUCAGCAUGAUAGGUGACACCCAUUGGGUUAUUGGGUUAUUAUACCCUUUCAUUGACAGGCAUCUAGGAGAGCCACGUAAAUUUAAAAGAGUGGCCCAGUGUAAUGCGAUAUGUAACUGUCUUUGUUGGUAUAAAUCAUGCCAGUGCUAAAGUAGAUUUUGACAACAAUAUACAGUUGUCUCUCAUUCUAGCUGCACUAUCCAUUGGCUUGUGGUAGACUUUUGAUAGAGAAGUGCUUUUGGCCUUGGAGUAGGAAUUGCUUUCUUGGCAACCUUGGUCACUCAACUACUAGUCUAUAGUGGGGUUUAUCAGUAUAUAUCUCCAGAUUUUCUUUAUGUCCCUUCUUGGUGACCAUGUAUAUUUUUUGCUGGUGGUAUAACAAUGGGAAAUAUUGGUCGACAACUGGCCAUGUAUGAAUGUAAAAUCACUGCAGAAAAAUCUCAUCAAGAAUGAAGAAAGCAAAAAUAUGUUUUUGUACAGAAAAAUAAACAAGAUUUAAAGAAACA
Molecule: long non-coding RNA, 766 nt
Filed under: Monodelphis domestica (gray short-tailed opossum)
Lineage: Eukaryota; Metazoa; Chordata; Mammalia; Didelphimorphia; Didelphidae
Description: lncRNA (ENSMODG00000034557.2)
Source: RNAcentral